Molecule: ribosomal RNA, 1576 nt
Filed under: Bacillus pumilus
Lineage: Bacteria; Bacillati; Bacillota; Bacilli; Caryophanales; Bacillaceae
Description: bacterial SSU rRNA
Rfam family: Bacterial small subunit ribosomal RNA
Source: RNAcentral
AAAUUUAUGUUUUUUUUGGGUUGGGAAUUUUAGAGUUUGAAUUCUGGCUCAGGACGAACGCUGGCGGCGUGCCUAAUACAUGCAAGUCGAGCGGACAGAAGGGAGCUUGCUCCCGGAUGUUAGCGGCGGACGGGUGAGUAACACGUGGGUAACCUGCCUGUAAGACUGGGAUAACUCCGGGAAACCGGAGCUAAUACCGGAUAGUUCCUUGAACCGCAUGGUUCAAGGAUGAAAGACGGUUUCGGCUGUCACUUACAGAUGGACCCGCGGCGCAUUAGCUAGUUGGUGGGGUAAUGGCUCACCAAGGCGACGAUGCGUAGCCGACCUGAGAGGGUGAUCGGCCACACUGGGACUGAGACACGGCCCAGACUCCUACGGGAGGCAGCAGUAGGGAAUCUUCCGCAAUGGACGAAAGUCUGACGGAGCAACGCCGCGUGAGUGAUGAAGGUUUUCGGAUCGUAAAGCUCUGUUGUUAGGGAAGAACAAGUGCGAGAGUAACUGCUCGCACCUUGACGGUACCUAACCAGAAAGCCACGGCUAACUACGUGCCAGCAGCCGCGGUAAUACGUAGGUGGCAAGCGUUGUCCGGAAUUAUUGGGCGUAAAGGGCUCGCAGGCGGUUUCUUAAGUCUGAUGUGAAAGCCCCCGGCUCAACCGGGGAGGGUCAUUGGAAACUGGGAAACUUGAGUGCAGAAGAGGAGAGUGGAAUUCCACGUGUAGCGGUGAAAUGCGUAGAGAUGUGGAGGAACACCAGUGGCGAAGGCGACUCUCUGGUCUGUAACUGACGCUGAGGAGCGAAAGCGUGGGGAGCGAACAGGAUUAGAUACCCUGGUAGUCCACCGAUGAGUGCUAAGUGUUAGGGGGUUUCCGCCCCUUAGUGCUGCAGCUAACGCAUUAAGCACUCCGCCUGGGUCCUUGCACGGUCGCAAGACUGAAACUCAAAGGAAUUGACGGGGGCCCGCACAAGCGGUGGAGCAUGUGGUUUAAUUCGAAGCAACGCGAAGAACCUUACCAGGUCUUGACAUCCUCUGACAACCCUAGAGAUAGGGCUUUCCCUUCGGGGACAGAGUGACAGGUGGUGCAUGGUUGUCGUCAGCUCGUGUCGUGAGAUGUUGGGUUAAGUCCCGCAACGAGCGCAACCCUUGAUCUUAGUUGCCAGCAUUCAGUUGGGCACUCUAAGGUGACUGCCGGUGACAAACCGGAGGAAGGUGGGGAUGACGUCAAAUCAUCAUGCCCCUUAUGACCUGGGCUACACACGUGCUACAAUGGACAGAACAAAGGGCUGCAAGACCGCAAGGUUUAGCCAAUCCCAUAAAUCUGUUCUCAGUUCGGAUCGCAGUCUGCAACUCGACUGCGUGAAGCUGGAAUCGCUAGUAAUCGCGGAUCAGCAUGCCGCGGUGAAUACGUUCCCGGGCCUUGUACACACCGCCCGUCACACCACGAGAGUUUGCAACACCCGAAGUCGGUGAGGUAACCUUUAUGGAGCCAGCCGCCGAAGGUGGGGCAGAUGAUUGGGGUGAAUCUAAAAGGGGGGAACCCAAAGCGGGAAAAAAAAACCCCAAUCUCCCCCCAAAAAA